Non-coding RNA from Acanthosepion pharaonis, 113 nucleotides. The record is from the annotation of a GenBank genome assembly. NCBI's taxonomy places the organism in Eukaryota, Metazoa, Mollusca, Cephalopoda, Sepiida, Sepiidae.
UUGCGACCACAUCACGUUGGAAAACCGGUUCCCGUACGAUCACUGAAGUCAAGGAACUCCGAACCAGGUCAGUAAUUUGAUGUGUGAACGCUUGAGAAUAUCAGGUGCUGUAA